Non-coding RNA from Hordeum vulgare subsp. vulgare (domesticated barley), 117 nucleotides. The record is from Rfam. NCBI's taxonomy places the organism in Eukaryota, Viridiplantae, Streptophyta, Magnoliopsida, Poales, Poaceae.
AGUUGCGUGGUCAACACAAAGCGAGCUAUCUUUUUUGCUACUAAAGAAUACCGUGUGCACGCCACACUAAGCAGCAUACGCUAAUUUUUGAAGGGUGCCUUCUCCCUGUGAGAAGGC